Parus major (Great Tit) is the source of this 1598-nucleotide long non-coding RNA. NCBI's taxonomy places the organism in Eukaryota, Metazoa, Chordata, Aves, Passeriformes, Paridae. The record is from Ensembl.
AGCCGAGCUUUCGCAAGUGUUCUCCCGUCAGGUCCUCAACAUCCUGGGGGCUGGCUGCACUGGUGGGGCCCCCAAAUUAUCCUGGCUCCCUGGUUGCAAGAGUCUUCAUUAGAGGAGGAUCCUGUCCUUGGAAUCAUUGAGUGCAGAGCCAUAGUAAAGGAAGGGUGUAAACACACCCAAAUGUUGUGAAUUGCUGCUUCUGUUACCAUUUCCUCUGAAGAGGAGGGGCUGAAUUUCAGAGCUGUGGAAUGAGCAGGAGACAGCAGAGCUCAGAGAUGCUGGAAGGAGAAAGCACAAGAAGAGCAUGGGCAUCAGGGGUGCUGAGGGACCAAUACUUUUAGCAGAGGUCAGAGAAGCUGAGCUGAUUGCAUGCCAGAGGAUGAAGAGCGCUCCAUCUGCUUGUGGCUUUAAGCAGCCCACACAAAAAAAUUGCAAAGUGGGUUUUACCUGGACCCAAAGUGAUAUUCUCAGCUACCUGCAAGAUCCAGGCAAUACAGCUUCAGGCAUGUGGUGCAAGAGGAAGAGGAGUGGUUCAGCUCUAGUGCCCAAAGCAGAACAAAACUGCUGUGAAAAUGUGAAGCACAUUUCAGUGAUCUGAUUCUUUAUCUGUACCUCCUUGAUUACAAUCAAGGAAUCAUGAUGACCAGCUAACUUUCAUUAGUGUUUCUGAACUGGUGAUUCUUCAGUGAAGAUAUAUAGGUCUGUCUUUUUCUGCUGUCUGUAUAUGAGUCUGUAUUUGACCUAGAGGUCCCCAUGCCUAUUUCCUCAGUUCCCAGUUCCUGUAGAUUACUUCCACUAGAAUCCUAGAGGAAAAACAUUCUGUGGUUUCUGCUAGUAGCUGUAUGAAUGAAUGUGUGCUACUGUUGAGUGAUUAUGAAUUUGACGCAAAGGCAAGUGUCAUGUGGCUUUUUAGGAAUGCAGCAUAAAAUGCAAGUAUGUAAAGAACUACAGUAGACAGUGCAAUUUACUGAGAGGAGAUGCCAAAACAUGUUAUGAAAUACUCCUUGUGUACUUUAAUAUUUCUUCUGUGUUCUCCCACACAGUGUUCAGAACAAAUUAAAUGACAUGAAGAAUAUUACAGAUUUUUUAAAACAGAUGGAGGACAUCACUUUUAUGGAUUUGAACAAUUCAUUAAAAGUUAGUUUCUGUUAAGAUUCACCAUGCUGUGAUUUUUCUCACAUCUUGUCUGCCUAGUCCAGGCUGAUCCUAAUCUAAGCAGGGGACUGAGGGAGUCCUCUGACUGGUGCACCAGCUGAUGUCUGAACCGCCCUCUCGUCAGCAGAGAAAUAAGGAGACUUUGCAGAAGGAAUGUAAAUUGUGCUCCUGCUGAGCUCAGUGCUGCUGUUGGUAGAGGAGACAGGAUACUGUUGCAUGGGGGAGGAGAUAGGCCACAUCCAUUCGGGUGUUGAAGAAAUGUGUUUUCAUCCUCAACAUUCCCCACAUUAAUGGGGAGUUUUGAGCAUAAUGGGUUAGUGCACAUGUAUUUUAAACAAUGAGAACUGUUUUUGUAAGGACUUAGCAAGGCUCAUUCAGGAUUAGGAAGGUCUGUUUGGUAUAUAUACCAACAGGAUGAGGCACCACUGGCUAUAUUUUCCAGU